Molecule: long non-coding RNA, 4736 nt
Organism: Fundulus heteroclitus (mummichog)
Lineage: Eukaryota; Metazoa; Chordata; Actinopteri; Cyprinodontiformes; Fundulidae
Exons: 4
Source: RefSeq, a predicted model, not a curated record
AGCUCCAGAUGAACCUGUGACGGCUUUUUGUUAAUCUGCACAUGUGGAGCUGGAGGCUCGCUGCCAGAGUCUCUGCCCAUAAUGAGCCGACCACCAACGGACUGCCGGUGGAACGGCCCGGCCCAGACAAUAGAGGCGGCUUCUGCACGCAACCCCACCACAGCACCCCCCACACAGCGUGUGUAGCCUCCUCCGCUUUAAUGAGACAAGAUGGCCGCCGCUGUGGCAUCAACAAAGAGGUAGGUGGCUGUGUGGAGGUGGAGGAGCAGACAAAGAGCCGGGGUGGUGGAGGUGAACUGGGGACGGGGAGGCCAUCACACGCAACCUGGCAGCCUGAGGAUGUGUGGCUCCGGGGCGGGAAUCGAACCGCCGCCCUCAGACCGGACCACCACGGCCCCUUAAAACUUUUACUGACCCGAGUCCAGGGAAACGCGUUCAAAAUGGCGGCAGUCGUCCUGUUGCCAUGGUGAUCCUGGAGGAGAUGUUCCUCCAGACUGGGCAGGAAACCCUCUGACAGAUGAAGGUCCUGGUCCAACAUCCUGUCCUCUCAACAGGUCCAACAGCAGGUCAGACGGAUCCGAUCCAAACGGGGGUCACCCCACCGCUCUCCAGCCCCAUGGCGCCCCCUGGAUGUCCGCAGGACCCUGAAUGAGAAAUGUGGGAAACAUUCAGCCGUGGGACGGAUAUAAUCAGCGUUAAGGUUCUGGACGUCUCAGCUGAAACUUUUUACUCUUUCUGAUGCUACGCUCACAGCUGGUUCUGGUCCAGUCUCAUCAUCUCCACCGCUCUGAAAUCCGUCAGCAGAAACCCGGAUCAGGACCCGGUUUGUCUCUCUGCAGGACUCAGACGGUAAAAUAAAAAGCUGAACCAGGACGCUGAUAUACAGAUUAACUGUUAAAGUUCUCCUUCCUCUGGUUUCUCUCAGUUAAGGACGUUUUGGACAGGUCCGGUCCGUUUUCACCCAUCAGGUUUUAUUUUCAGCACCGCAAUGAGUCCAGCCCAACAGCAGAAAGACUUCAGCAGGAGGAGAUCUCAGAUCUGGCAGAAACUCUGUGAGAUCACCUGAAGACGGCUGUGGAACAGAGACCUCUGACCAUGUGGGAGACCCGGAGAACCUUUAGAGCCUGAGUCGGCCGGUUUGACCCGGUCCAGAGGUGAUGGAACCAAAGGGUGCUUCAACCAAAGUCCUAAUUUACAACCUGGUUAAUUCUCAGUUAUUUUUCCAUAUUUUGAGUUAAAUAUAAAAUCUACGUUCUGAGCGAUUUGUUCUGAUCUGUUUUAUGUCACAUGAACCAGCUGUUUUAUAUCAGGGGUUCUUCCACCUAUUAAUCCUGGUCCCUUCGCUUCCUAUUGGUUACAUAAAAUGAUCCAGUUCAUUAGAGUAAAAGUAAAGCAGGUUUCUCUCUGGAUUCUGCUGCUUUUCUUUUCCCGUUUUUCAGUCCAGAAAUCGUUGGCGUUCAGAUGAACGUUUUUCUGCUUGUAAAGAGGUAAAUGGGAUUAUUAAAGUAUAUCUGACUCUGAUUCUGAUAAAGCUCACACAUUAAACCCAUCUCAACCUGCUGCUGAUGCUCAGAUGUUUCGUAGUCCAGGCAACGUGAAGUUAAUGCUAAACUUUAGUCAACAUUACAUUAAAUGUUAAGCUUUUAUUUGGACUAUUGGGUAGAAAAUAGAAGCUUUAGAAGAAAGUAUAUUCCAUAUUUAUGGAAGUUUUAUGCUAUUUUAUCUCCAUUUAACCUGAAACAUGAUUUUAGUUUUCUAUGGUCCCCUUGUUGGCCCAGUUUUAUGUGAAGGAAUUGCUGAAUUUGUUUCCUGAUUUAUCGUUUUGAUGGUUUGUCCUGAGCUCUGCUUGAGGCGGAGGUCUCAUGUUCUCUGGUUUUGGGGUUUCUGGGAACGUGUUCCUGGAAUGAAGCUGCUUCACACCUUCAGCGUCUCUGAGGUCGCAGACCCAAAACUUCCUGAACUGAGGUCAUCGUCACCUGUUAGCUGUUUCCCACCCGGCCACGAGGUGAGGUGUUGGUCACAUGACCGAAGGUGUGAGGAGCUGUGAAAGUCCCUGAGAGGGAACGUCAUGGAUAGAUGGUCGGACCAAAUGCCUGCAUAUGAAUCCCAUCAGCAGCUCCUGAGUAUUGGAAAAUGGAAACGCCUCUGUGAUUAUCAGAGGGGCUGAAGAUCAAACAUCAGAAAGAGGAAGAAAAGGGAUUUAUUUGACUCUGAAUGCAGCAAGGUUGUUGGUGCCAGGUGGGCUGGUCUGAGUACUUCAGAGCCUGCUGAUCUACCCGAACCUUCAGUUAUCCACUUAAAUAGAACAUGCAUCAAAGAAUUAGCACUAAGUCAUAGCACAAACCCAAAACUACAGAAAACAGUAAAGUCCAUCUCUCCAAAGAUACGUUAAUCAGCUGAUUGAUGCAUGUGACCACCUUCAGACCAAUAAAAAACAGACUGAACUCAAUCAAUCAAUCAAUCAAUCAAUCAAUCAAUCAAUCAAGUCUAAGGCAUCUAAGGCAUCGCUGCCUUCACUGUAACUGUCCAAAUCACUGGAGAUAUGAUUAAAGUCCAGAAUUAAAGGCAAUUAAUAAAGGCAAAAAUCUAAGAACAUUCAAGAUAUAAAACUAUAACCAACCGGUAAACAUGGGAUCAAAAAUUGAGAGUAAAUGAAAACAAAUAAACGUAUUUCAAGCAGGAGUUAGGGAGUUUGUCCUGCAAUUGGCAGGUUGCCGGUUCGAUCCCCGACUGUCACUGUGCCCUUGCGCAUGACACUUCACCGAAUGCCUGCUGCUGGUCAAAGAGCCCAGUGGUGGUGAUGUAUGGCAGCCUAGAACUAGUUAAAGCCAUUCACCAUUUAAAAGUUGAUGAAAUAUAAUAACCAACACUUAAAAAAUAAAGGUAAAUAAAAAAAGUAGGCAAAAAAUAAUAAUAGACCACCUAGCUUACAAAAUCCAGACUGAAAACUGUCAAAGAGCUCAUGUUUUACAUAAAAUAAAUUAGCUCUUCUGCCACUAUUUUUCAAGAACCUUGAACAUAAAAGGAAUCAUGAAGAUAUGUCUGUAAUAAUGAAGCUGGGUGUAAAGGUGGAUGAAUAGAUGGACAGACAGUUUAUACUGGAAUGAUUAUUUUUUUCUUUUUCAUGCUAGGGACUUAAAAAACAAAUGUUUAAAUACAAUUAAAUUCCAAACUCUCCAAAUAAUCUUUCAAACCAGCACAGAGACAGUUGCAUCAGCAGGUUAUGGUUAGCUCUGAAAUUAGCAUAAUGCUAAUGCAGCCCAGCUAGCAGUGAAUUAUGGUGUGUUUUAACUCAUGUAAUUUCAUCAGUUCACUCAGUUCUGGUCUGCUGUAUUGUUGCCGUUAAAAAUUAAUCCAGAACCAGCAAAUUCAUAACCUUCCCUGCGAGCUAAAUUCUCGCACUAUUUAUGCGUUCACAAGCUGACGAGAAUCCAUCUUGUUCCACUACCGUCUCAAUCAUUUGGGGCAAAAAACGGUUCGGGCUAAUCACGUUGCAGUAUCAUGGUUAAUUAUUAUCAUUAUUAUGGUUUAUUAUGGACAUACCAGCUGUAAUGAAAGCAGGAGCGGCUGAGCCCACAGCCGAACCAACGUAAACACGGCAGCUCAGGAGGACGCACGCGUAGCCGCUGCUGUCACAUCUGUUUGGUCAGAAUCCACGAUUUCUUCUUUGAAAGAAGAACAGGAAGAAAUGCCUUGACCGGCGUAACAUGUUGCAGUUUCUCACUGAUACCGUGAUUGGCUAAAACCAACCUGGUGCCUCUGAAAACCAGCUCAGAAAGUUCUGCUGAAAGUCCCUUCUUUCCCCGAACACAUUCGACGGAAGCAGACCCAGAGCCUGAGACGUUAGCUAAUGGCUAACGUCUCAGGCUCAUGGGGCGACCUGAGGGGAUGUUUACGGCUCCAUUUAGCUCUACACAGCAUCGCCUCACCUGGUUAAUAGUGUCGCUAUUCUCAGCUGAACUGCACACAUACAAUGACUUCAGUGUACUCGGGUUUUUCUAUCAGUUUACUAACGUUUGCUGACGUUAGUAUGCUAACACUAGCUCCUGUGUGUGCUAGCUUCCACUAGCUCCCAUUGUCGCUGUAUUUUCAUGCAGCUUUCUAAGUGAUUAAAUCAUCAUAAACAGCAGUAACCAUGGGAUGAAUCAAUGGUGAGUUUUCUAGGUUGGGCCAUGUUGGCUAAGGAAGGAACUGGAGUUUCCCUGAAGAAUCUUCUCACUAUAGAUGGAGUCAAACCACCAAGAGACCAUAUGAACACUGGUAGCCAUUUGAUAAAAUAGACACGAUCAUUUCAAGCAGGAGAGGAAAGACGUUUGGAACAGCUGGAGAACAAGGGAUCAGGGCGACAUGAGAAGACUGGAGGGAAAAUAAAAGCAAAGCCGGCUCAGAUCGUCUGUAUAGUAGGCCUUCCUGCUACAGUCUGUCCUCAUUUUUGUCGACCUACAGAAAGGUCCGAGACUAAACAUUGAACCUUUUGAAAGUAAUUAGACGUUUUUGUAGUAAUUGUAUGGACCUAUCAAAAGAAAGGUAAGGCGGUCAGUAGUGCAUGCUGAUGUGGAGAUCUGGAUGUAAUCUGGACACCUAACUGUUCUUUUCUUUAUUCCUUUCAGUACUUUUCUCAGCUAAAGCUGUCAAGGGUUGCUCUCGCGCUUUAAUGUUUCCUCUUUAACUUGUUUAAAACAACUAUCUUUACUAUGACUGCUUUCUCCUCUCACAUUCAGUCUUCUUACAAAUGU